UGCGCCUUGCCAGCCCGCUCAGAAACUUAAAGGAAUUGACGGGGGCCCGCACAAGCGGCGGAGCAUGUGGAUUAAUUCGAUGCAACGCGAAGAACCUUACCUGGGUUUGACAUACACCGGAAAACCGUAGAGAUACGGUCCCCCUUGUGGUCGGUGUACAGGUGGUGCAUGGCUGUCGUCAGCUCGUGUCGUGAGAUGUUGGGUUAAGUCCCGCAACGAGCGCAACCCUUGUCUUAUGUUGCCAGCACGUAAUGGUGGGGACUCGUAAGAGACUGCCGGGGUCAACUCGGAGGAAGGUGGGGACGACGUCAAGUCAUCAUGCCCCUUAUGUCCAGGGCUUCACACAUGCUACAAUGGCCAGUACAGAGGGCUGCGAGACCGUGAGGUGGAGCGAAUCCCUUAAAGCUGGUCUCAGUUCGGAUCGGGGUCUGCAACUCGACCCCGUGAAGUCGGAGUCGCUAGUAAUCGCAGAUCAGCAACGCUGCGGUGAAUACGUUCCCGGGCCUU
Molecule: ribosomal RNA, 507 nt
Filed under: uncultured Rhodococcus sp.
Lineage: Bacteria; Bacillati; Actinomycetota; Actinomycetes; Mycobacteriales; Nocardiaceae
Description: bacterial SSU rRNA
Rfam family: Bacterial small subunit ribosomal RNA
Source: RNAcentral